This 424-nucleotide ribosomal RNA is filed under the name uncultured prokaryote. RNAcentral's name for it is "bacterial SSU rRNA". It matches the Rfam family "Bacterial small subunit ribosomal RNA", at positions 355 to 796 of the family's 1533-position model. The record is from RNAcentral.
UGGGGAAUCUUAGACAAUGGGGGAAACCCUGAUCUAGCCAUGCCGCGUGAGUGACGAAGGUCUUAGGAUCGUAAAGCUCUUUCGCCAGGGAAGAUAAUGACGGUACCUGGUAAAGAAACCCCGGCUAACUCCGUGCCAGCAGCCGCGGUAAUACGGAGGGGGUUAGCGUUGUUCGGAAUUACUGGGCGUAAAGCGCGCGUAGGCGGGCUGGAAAGUUGGGGGUGAAAUCCCAGGGCUCAACCCUGGAACUGCCUUCAAAACUAUCAGCCUAGAGUUCGAGAGAGGUGAGUGGAACAGCGAGUGUAGAGGUGAAAUUCGUAGAUAUUCGCUAGAACACCAGUGGCGAAGGCGGCUCACUGGCUCGAUACUGACGCUGAGGUGCGAAAGCGUGGGGAGCAAACAGGAUUAGAUACCCCCGUAGUCU